GGCACGAUGAUAUCAAAUCCAUCCGAAGAGGUGAGAAGGGUCUGAUGGCCUGUUGGAGAUGGAGGACAAGCAGAGAGACCAUCACCAGGGCCAGGACAGUGAUGGAUCUCCAUCUUGGGACAUGGACAAAUGCCCCAGCUUCCCAGAGGGGUGGAUGGGAACCCCAGGUGCAGAGGAUCUGAGUCAAACCGCUGAGUCACCAGCAGAUCCAGGAUUGCUGAAGAGGCUGAGGCCGGCCCCUGGACCUGGAAGGGCUUCCUGCUGGGCACGAAGAUGUUGCAGAAGGAGCCGUGUGGACUGGAACAUUUCAGCUACAUGUGUCAGGGCAUAAGGAUAGAAGACUGAAGAAAAUAGGAGUUUUAUGUGUCAAUGA
Molecule: long non-coding RNA, 373 nt
Organism: Callorhinus ursinus (northern fur seal)
Lineage: Eukaryota; Metazoa; Chordata; Mammalia; Carnivora; Otariidae
Source: RefSeq, a predicted model, not a curated record